This 373-nucleotide RNase P RNA is filed under the name Affinundibacterium nitidum. RNAcentral describes it as "Undibacterium nitidum Bacterial RNase P class A". It matches the Rfam family "Bacterial RNase P class A". Rfam says of the family: Ribonuclease P (RNase P) is a ubiquitous endoribonuclease, found in archaea, bacteria and eukarya as well as chloroplasts and mitochondria. Its best characterised activity is the generation of mature 5'-ends of tRNAs by cleaving the 5'-leader elements of precursor-tRNAs. Lineage: Bacteria; Pseudomonadati; Pseudomonadota; Betaproteobacteria; Burkholderiales; Oxalobacteraceae. RNAcentral also lists the same sequence under 1 other name. The record is from Rfam by way of RNAcentral.
GAAGCAGGCCAGACAAUCGCUGGUUGUCAUGUUCGCAUGAUGACGGGAGGAAGGUCCGGACUCCAUAGAGCAGGGUGACGGCUAACGGCCGUACGUUGAAAGCUGAGGUGCAAACCGAGGUAUAAGACGAGGAAUAGGGCCACAGAGACGAGUCUUUGGGGAGUAGUGAAGCGCAAGCGGAUACUAAACCACAAAGGGUGAAACGCGGUAACCUCCACCCGGAGCAAUUUCAAAUAGGCACGCGUUGAGGUGGCUCGCGGAGCGUGCGGGUAGAAAGCUUGAGUGACGGAGCAAUCCGUCGCCUAGAGGAAUGAUUGUCAUAGCGUACGCGAGUAUGCCGUAACAGAAUCCGGCCUAUCGGCCUGCUUCAAUU